AUUCUACCCAUGCGGGGAAGGAUGAGAAGCUUCGACUAAGGUUCGAUUCGAGCGAAAGCGAGAAAGCGUUGCCAACGGCAACGACCCGAAGGGCGAAGCGCGCAGCGCUGAGUAAUCCUUCCCCCACCACCA
Molecule: small RNA, 132 nt
Filed under: Salmonella enterica subsp. enterica serovar Rubislaw
Lineage: Bacteria; Pseudomonadati; Pseudomonadota; Gammaproteobacteria; Enterobacterales; Enterobacteriaceae
Also listed under: 8 other names
Description: RtT sRNA
Rfam family: RtT RNA
About the family: This family represents a bacterial cis-regulatory element known as RtT RNA.
Source: RNAcentral